AUAAGCUCAAUGGGUGCCAAUUUUCAAUCAAAACCUAUCUCUUGGAUUUCAAUCAUAUGCUCCAUAAUAUUGUUGUUAACCUACUUCACAACUUCAUCACUAUCUGCUCGACCCAAACAUUCUAUCCCACCUGAAUAUCGCUUAAACCCAAGUGCCAUAGAGCCAUCUGCUAUCCUUGAAUAUUACAACCUCCCAACAGCGCUUCUUCCCAAAAGUGCUAUUAUCCAACACUUUAACAGCUUCGAUGGCAAAUUCACUGUCAAACUAAAGCGUCCUUGCAGCUAUCAAGUUGAUGGUAAUUACUUGAAGUUCGAGUCAACUAUAUCAGUUAUCAUCAGCGAUAAUAGUAUAUCUAACGUCGAAGGAAUUAAAUUGAAGGUAUUAUCUCAAUGGGUCAGCCUUACAAAAGUGAUUCGUGUUCAAGACCGUCUAACAUUGACAGCUGGGAAAGUUUCUAGACAAUCUUUAAUUUUUAACUUCCAAAGGAAUCCAUCUAUUUGUGUAAUUAUGUAAUCUCUAAUUUUGUCUCAAUCUAAUAAAAUCAUGACACUUACUAAAGAAACUUGAGUAGUUUUUGUAUUAAGUGUCAAAAUUUUAUCGAAUCAAAUAAAGAGAUAAGGAAGUAUUGUUUUGUUUCAAAAAUGUUCAUAUUUCAAUCAACAAUAUUAAAGUUUAGAGUGAAUUAUAUUGAGAUUCCCUGAGUUUAAGUGAAAUUAAACAAAUCACUCAGACAUUUUUUAAAUAUAUACAAACCACCCCUAGUUAUACAUAUACAUUACACUGACUAUCCCUUAAGAAAUAUAAGUGUGCAAGUUUUUAAACAAAAAAUAAUGAUGAAUGCAAUUAAGUCAAACAAAAUAUGACAUAUUGUGGAGACAAGUCCAAAUAGUAUAAACUUGAUCUAUAUUCAUUAUUUUUUAAUUGUUACAAAUUGCAUCAAUAAUUCUAAUAUUGUACUCUCUCAUAGUGUCUGAAAAUAGAGUAAUAUGCCCCAACUUAUUUCUCCCACAUUAAUAUUUGAAUUACAAUUUUCCAUCACAAUAUAAAUAUUUUUUUUUGCCCUCACACCUUAUAUAUUGGUACUUACACAUUAUUUUGCCUUCACUACUAAAUAUUUGUGUGUCUAACAUUGCUUCACCCUUAGGAUUGUAAUUCUUCAACUAGCAGUAUAUUUGAUUAUAUUAAGGGAGCAAAACAACAUCAAUGGGCCAAAGAGACCUGGUGGACUUGGUAUUCAAUUAUCCGUAAAGUAUUGAUUAAGGGAAAAAUAUGGUUUUAUUAAAAGUUCUAAUACAUCACCCAUUAAUUUAUUCAAACUUUCCUAUUUGAUUUCUUAAUUAUUGCACAUAUUGGGGUAAAUUAAGAUUAUGAUGCACCUAACGUAAUUUUUGCUUAAAGUACGCAAAUCUAUAUUAUUGUAUAUCAACUGUGGAUAUUAUUGUACUCAAUUAACUCAAAUCAAUUUUUUGUUUAAUUUCAUGCACACAAAAAUUUAAAGUGUAAGCUGCAUUUUGAAGGAGAUUAUCUAUAAAUCGAUAUAAUAUUUGAGGAUAUCAAAUUUGUUUUUUUAUUUCAAAAUGUAAGGCUUAUAGGAAAGUCCAUGUCUUGUUAAAAGGAUACUGCAUCUCCCUUAUCAUUAUUAUUACUAUCAUCAUUAUCAUCAUUUUGUCACAAUAUUAUCAUUGUCACCACCUUCAUUCUCCCACCAUCCAUGUCAUUGCUACCAUCUAUAUACUUCUCCCAUCACCUCCUAAUUGUAGCCAGUGCCACAGUUACAUGCUAGUUGUGAACACCUUAUCAUGUACAGUUUAUUAUCUUCACAUAUUUAAAAAUAUGAAAAAUAACAAAAUGAAUUAUAACUGAAAAAUUAAAAGUGCAAUAUAUUGUUUUUUAUUCUAAAAUAAAUAAAUAAUUAUAUUAAUUAAAAAAACAAAUUAGAAUAUAUAAAAAAAAUUAAUCUUACCUCAUGGACAUGAUGAAUGAUGUAACAUAAUUGAUUAACGAAAGUACUAUAAUAAUAGUAUAAGUGAAGUUGAAGGAAUAAGUUGGGAAAAAUAAUUGAGAAACCAAGUUGAAAAAAAUAAUUGAGAAACCAAGUUGAAAAAAAUAAUUGAGAGACCGGGUUGAGGAAAAAAUUAUAUGACCAAAUUAAUAAAAUAAAUUAAGUUAUGGAUCAUGCCUUUUAGCCGCAUGAUUAUCUAUACAUAAAUGAGAGAUAUAUACAAUUAUAUGCCCAAUGUUAAUUGUCGCGUUAGCAUAAUGCACACAAAUUUAGAUAAUCAUUCAGUUUAUUAAUUAUUAAAGCAAUGUAUUAUGAUAAAAUUAUCCUUAUAAACUCACAUUUACAGAUACCACACUUUUUUUAAGGCAUUAAGGAGGAAAAAUGUAGUUAAUACAUGGUGAUUACCUAAAGUGAAGAUAUGAAACUUGAAAAAUGUUAAGGUGGCAAUUAAAAUGGUAGAAAAUAGUACUAUAUUAUUUUUUUAGUGAGUAAUUGGUGAUGGGCAUAAGUUAAAUUAACUUCUGAAGAGACAAUUAGUUAGGCCUGACUUUGUUGGACUAUCUUAAUAUUCCUUUGGAUUUGCAACCACAACUCACUUGUACUAUGGCAGACUUCAUUUAGAAUUACAAAUGAACAAUACCUACAAUUCUGAACUGUUUGUUUCCUGAUAUUUCAAAUAUAAUAUCCAAGAUUAUCAUUAGUAGGUAUCAGUGGCUUAGACACACCUAGAAGGGGGUUGAAUAAGUGUAGUGGUUAUCAAUUUCCACUUCUCACACUAAAACCUAGUUCUGGAAAACACCCUAGGUAAUCGACUAACCACUGGGCUUAAUCGAUUAACUCACAACAGAAACAGAAUGAUCAGAUCAGCUUCUUGCACAGUUAUUUAUCAACAAACAAGUAGAGAUACAUCAGAUAUUUUUAUGCACAAUUAACAAGGAUAUAGCAAUGUAUCAGUAUGCAAAAUAUCAGCUUCAAACACGAAUUAAAACAGUGAGAAUUGUAAAAGAGAUGGAGAGAGAACAGCUUGCACAAAUGGAUUUUUAUCUUGGUUCGUUUGCGGUCCACUGCAAACAACAUCCAGGCCUCCCCUUCUGAUCUUGGGAGAUUUUCUCUUCACUAUAUUGAACAUUUUAUAUUGUCACAUACACCAAUUCAAUUACAAGACUCACGACACUUCUUUCUUGAAUUCCAAGAACCUCUAACCUUGGUUUGACUAUCCCUAUCGCCUGAGAAAACCUUUCUCGCGAUCCAGCCCCAGCCAAGAUCCUCGCUCUCAAUUCAAGACCUCCUAGCCUUCGUGAAGAUUCACUCGAUCUCAAUGGUGGUAAACACCAAGAGACUAACCCAAAGUAAAAAAACAAUAUAAAAAAUAGAGUUUUACCAAGCACUAAAAUGCUCAAAUUACAACAAUGAAAAACUCAAAGAUUAACCAAGUCUCGAGUAACACAAGCCAUCAUGCAUAUGUGAGUUAAUGCAAAACAGUAAAGUCAAAAUCUUUUUCUUGAAAUCUCUAAUAAGAAUGCAUGAACAUGCAAGAAAUAAUAUAUGAGAUUAAACACAUGAAAACAACAUGCAAUACACUAUGAACAAUAUCAAUUAAGCAUGUUAAUCUCUCUUUCUCACACAUGCAUCUCUCAUCUGCCUAUUACACAGUUAAUCACAAAAAUUAUGCUCUCUAACAGUUCCUAAUCAAUAAUAUGGAAUGCUACACAUUUCUGCAAUUUGCCAUAACUUAUACAAAAAAUAUUUGACACUUCAAACCAUUACAUUCAGUUAAGUAGUUAAAAUAGAAAACAAUUAUAACAGAAAACAGUCAAACUAAUCGAUUAACCAACAUAUAUAAAAAACAUGAUUAAAAGGCAAACUACUUAUAUGUUAUGUUUGACUCCUAUACAUGUUUUAUCAAUUAUAUUAUGCCUAAUAUGCACAUAUUACAUGUGUGAUUAAUGCAUGAACAUAUAAUAAGCUAGAAGAUAUGCAUCAUGAAUAUGAUAUGACAAUAUUAAUGGCUUGUGAGACUUGCGUCUAGGUUUACCUAACUCAAUCUCACUGACUAAGGCACACAUUCCAGACUACUUAGAAAUAUAACUCUGUUGAUAUAACCUAGUCUAGAUAUCACCAAUGAGUUUUAGGCAUGUUGAUUGUUAAGCCAUCUUCAAGCUUUAACUAAUAUUUUGUCUCCAUCAAAACACAGGCAAAACAUUGCUAUUGCAAUCCUUGAUACUUUGCACUUUCAGAAAACUCUACUGUAAUUGGUGAAGGAUCACACGUGGAUAAACCUUCACCUCCUCCUCCGAAGAAAUCAAUUGCACUAGGGUUUCUCCCCCUAGUGCAAUUACCCACAGCUGUGACCCUCAUUGGCAAACUAACUAUCAAACUAUUAAGUGUUUGCACUUUUUAAAAUAAAAAUUAACUCUAUUUCCUAACUUUCGUUUUUAUUUUAAAAUAAAAAUAAAAAAAUGUUUAUUCAAUAGUUAGUUGAACCAAUAAUGAUGACAUGUUAUUUCAAAAAAGUUUUAAUUGACUUUUUUUAUACUAAUUUGUAUAAUAAUGGAGAGAUUCAAUUUAAAGAAACACAAAUGUGAUUUUCUUUUAUUUUCGUUCUUUUAAUAAAUGUAAAAGUAAAAAAGGCAGUCUAGUCAUUCUUUGUGACUUUAUAAAAAUCAAAUAAUCAUUUUUAUUCACUUGUAGAUAAUGCAAUAGUUUUUGGGAUUUAAUAUAGUCAUUAUAGAAUUUUCUACUCUAAAAAAUCUAUAUGUAUACUUUCAAAUUUUAAGCUUAAAUAAUUAUUUUAAGGCAUAUAUGAGUGUCAUAAUAACUUUAUUUAUGACUUUAGAAAUUUUUUAAGAAUUUUGUUAUGACUAAAUGAUUUUUUUUUAUUCCAGAAACAAUAUUGUCCCAUUCGAAUUAAUUACAGAUUAAAUUUUGAUUAAAAAAUAAUAUCUGAAACAUUUUAAUUGAUAGAAGGGAUUCCAUUUUAUUUUCAACUUGUUCAAAAUCCUCCUAUAAUUAGAGACUUGUGUAUAGUGGCAAAAACAUAAAAAUACAAAAAAGACACUAAAGAGAAAUUUAUAUUGUUCAUCUUUUCCUUUCCGAUGUAGAGAAAUUUGUGUUCCUCCUCCAUCCUUUCUGGUGUGAGAUGCAUGCAUAUAUGCACUUUCAUUGUUCAUCUCAUCUUUUUUAUUUAUUAAAACUUCAUUUUAAUAAUUAUUAUUUUUUGUAUAAUUAAAUAAUAAUUCAUUCAUUCAUUUUUGCUUUUAAAAUAUUAAUAAAUGUUUAUUUUUAUUUUUAAAUAAUGAGCAUACUAUUAAACAAAUAUUCUUCCUCUUAAUUAAAUAAAAAAUGUAAAGAUUGAGAAGUAGUAAUAGAAAACUUAUUUGCCUCAAUUUUAAGUUGAGGUGCGAUGUAGGCGUGAGUGCUGCUACCUCACAUACUUAAAGUAAUAAGGAAUAACGGGGAAAAAAAUUAUCCCUUUAACUUGAGUUGUAAUGCGUACAUUAGUUUAUAUGCCUCACUUAAUUAAAGUGGGUAAGGGGUAAUUAAUUGAAAAAACUUAUUCAUUUAAAUUGAGAUAUAAUAUAGACAUGAGUGUUACAAUCUCACUCACUUAAAGUGGAUAAUUAAUUUAAAAAUCUAUCUCUUUAAAUCGAAUUGUAGUAGGACACAAGUGUUGUUACUUCAUUUACUUGAAAUUGGUAAUUAACUAAAACCUAUCCCUUUAAGCCAUUAUGUGCUGUGAACAUGAGAGUUGCUAUCUCAUUCUCCAACAUACAUAAUUGUGAAAUCAUCUUUUGGAAAAGAAAUAAAAGUCAAAUCAACUAAAUUAACUAAUAUUUUAUAGAAAACUAGGUAGUUUUGAUACUCAUUUGUCUUAACAAUUAAUUUUUAUUUUUAGUACAAUAGUUCAAUGGUAUUUAAUGGAUGUAAUUAGUUAGAGUGUUGUUUUAGUAUGGAUAAAUGAAGUGUGAAUACCUUCUCACAUUUGUAAUUAACUCUUGAGCUUAGAUCUCUAAUUUAAAGACCACUACAUUUUAAAUUGGGCUUAAAAUAGAAUUUUCUACAUUUUAAUUAUAAAAAACAUAAUGAUGACUCCAAAAACUAAGUAACCAGUGCUCAAUCAAAAAUCAGUGUCCAACAAGUUAUAUUAACUUUUUUCUCUUUAGUUGAUUAAAUAAAGUGUGAUGAUGGUGAAUAUGAGUUGUUAGGGAUGAUUUUGUCAAAAUACAUUAUUUCAAUUUAAUAAUUACAAAAUUCAAUGAUUGUCCUAAUCUACAUGUCUUAUGCUAACUUACAAUUAAAAUUAGACAAAUGAUAUAUAUUAUUAUUCAGAUGAAGUAUGUUAAAAUAUUUGAUUUUGUCAUAAAUCUUAGCUUUCAUAAAAUUAAUAAUUAGAAUUAGUGGAUUAAUGAAGAUUGGGUUAGUAUAAAAAACUUUAAGAAAUAAAAGUCAACUAUAUUUAUAUUUUUUCCUCCAGCCACAAAAAUGUAGACGAUUGAAAAGAUGGAAGAGAGUGAGAGGAAAGAAAGGUGAUGAAAAAAGAUUAUUCCAUCAAUAAUAAUAAUAAUCCAACACACCCUCAAGUUAAUUUGACUAUAUAAAUUAUUAAUAACAUAAUAAUGUAGUAAAAUUAUUAUUUAAUUAUUUAAUAACACAUAAAAUUCGUGAAUAAUUAUUAAAAGUCUAAAGUUAAUUUGACUAUAUAAUUUUUUAAUGAUAUAAUAAUGUAGUAAAAUUUAAUUUUGAAUACAAAUAGAAUUUAAUUUUCUAUUUAAGUUCUUGAAAAUAUAUAUUUUUAUUUUUGAUUAAUUAAAAAUGGUUUCUAUCCACAUAUCGGCAUACAUUUCUUCAAUAUAAAUAAGCAUUGUGGGUAAGCAUUGAAAACACACAUUUUUGUUAAUCAUACUUAACAUAAACUCAAUGGGUGCCAAUUUUCAAUCAAAACCUUUCUCUUGGAUUUCGAUCCUAUGCUCCAUAAUCUUGUUGUUAACCUAUUUCACAACUCCAUCACUAUCUACCUCACCCAAAUAUGACUUAAACUCAUAUGAUAUCCCAAAAGGGCUUCUUCCCGAUGGUGCAAUUACCCAACACUUUGAUAGCUCCACUGGUAAAUACACUAUCAAAGGACGUAAACCAAACCAUGACAUCGUCUCCGACAAGGACGUAUGGCCAAGUGAUAUGCUUGAAUAUUACAACCUCCCAAAAGCGCUUCUUCCCAAAAGCGCUUCUACCGAAAUCUUUGACACCAUCGGUGGCAAAUUCACUGUCAAAGUAAAGCGUCCUUGCACUUCUAAAAUUGAUGGUAAUUACUUGAAGUUCGAGUCAACUAUAUCAGCUAGCAUCAGCAAUAAUAAUAUGUCUAACGUGGUAGGAAUUAAAUUGAAGAUAGGAUCUCAAUGGGUCAGCCUUACAAAAGUGACUCGCGAUAUAGACCGUCUAACAUUGACAGCUGGGAAUGUUUCUAGACAAUCUUUAAUUUAUAACUUCCAUGCGAGUCCAUCUAGUUGUGUAAUUAUGUAAUCUUUAACUUUGUCUCAAUCUAAUAAAAUUAUGACACUUACUAAAGAACCUUGAGUAGUGGUUUGUAUUAAGUGUCAAAACUUUAUUGAAUCAAAUAAAGAGAUAAGGAAGGAUUGUUUU
This 7639-nucleotide long non-coding RNA is filed under the name Lupinus angustifolius (narrow-leaved blue lupine). Its description in RNAcentral is "long non-coding RNA (LANG_LNC002731)". The record is from RNAcentral. Lineage: Eukaryota; Viridiplantae; Streptophyta; Magnoliopsida; Fabales; Fabaceae.